AACGAACGCUGGCGGCAUGCCUAACACAUGCAAGUCGAACGAGACCUUCGGGUCUAGUGGCGCACGGGUGCGUAACGCGUGGGGACCUGCCCUUAGAUUCGGAAUAACUCCCCGAAAGGGGUGCUAAUACCGGAUAAUGUCUUCGGACCAAAGAUUUAUCGCCUUUGGAUGGGCCCGCGUUGGAUUAGCUAGUUGGUAGGGUAAAAGCCUACCAAGGCGACGAUCCAUAGCUGGUCUGAGAGGAUGAUCAGCCACACUGGGACUGAGACACGGCCCAGACUCCUACGGGAGGCAGCAGUGGGGAAUAUUGGACAAUGGGCGAAAGCCUGAUCCAGCAAUGCCGCGUGAGUGAUGAAGGCCUUAGGGUUGUAAAGCUCUUUUACCCGGGAUGAUAAUGACAGUACCGGGAGAAUAAGCUCCGGCUAACUCCGUG
This 433-nucleotide ribosomal RNA is filed under the name uncultured bacterium. RNAcentral's name for it is "partial 16S ribosomal RNA". It matches the Rfam family "Bacterial small subunit ribosomal RNA", at positions 29 to 507 of the family's 1533-position model. The record is from RNAcentral.